UGCGGGGCGCGCCGAGCCCGCGCCCACCCGGAAGUCGCGCUGAGCCCGCGCCCACCCGGAAGUCGCGCUGGACCUGCGAGCACCGCAGGCAGCCCAGGUUCCGGCCCGCGCCUCUCCCUCCACACCUCCCCGCCAGCAGAGGGAGCCCGCUCAGGCCUCAGCCAGCACAGAGAGGGGCUCCCACGGUGCAGCUGCGGGCUGAAGGGCUCCUCAAGCGCGGCCAGAGUGGGCUGAGGCCGAGGAGGCGCCGAGAGCCAGCGAGGGAUGCCAGCAAGCUGUCACCUCUCAGAAAUACAGGAAGAACAUCAAUAAUGUUCGAAGUUAUAAAGUAUUGCGGAGGUCAGAGGUCAGAAAACAAGGUGUCUGCAGGACCAACCUCUCCUCUGGAUGCUCUAGGAAACGAGUAGAAUUAAGUGAAUUGAUUAUCAUAUCUAACCUAAUGAAUUGGGAGAUAGCCGUGGGCAUUAAAACUGUUUCAAGAAGUGCAACUUAGCGUUCAGGGCUGACCUCAUGAGCUUCCAGAGACAUCAGAGUGUUGAAAUUUCCAGGAUGCAAAACGAAGGGGCAAUUCAAAACAUUCAUCUCCACUUCUCAAAAGUCUUUGAUUACUUGAGAAAAGUGAGUGAGGUGGGGCCAAGAUGGUUGACUAGAAGCAGCUAGUGUGUGCCACUCUCACAAAUAGCAGAAAGAGUGGUGAGACACUAGCUCUUCAACCGGAACAUCCAGGUGGACACAUAAGGAUUCAUCAGUGACAUAGUGUGACCUUCGGAUCACGGAGAAGAGUGAGACAGAUCAACCAUUCACCCAGGAGUGGCACAGACCCAGGGGAAUCCCCCUACAAGAAAAUGGUGAGUGAGUGAGAGUCCCGUGGGAUGCAUAUUUCUGCCACGAACCUUUGAAUCCCUGGGCUCAGGAGAUACCCCAGCUGGGGUCUCCAGACCAAAACAGAGAGCCAUGUGGAGUCUGGGUAGAGCUGCUUCUUAGGUAGGUGUGGAGUCCCAGUAGCAUUUGUUCCCUGGGUACCCCAAAACCAGGGGCUGCAGCUCCAGCAAUUGGGAAGGCCAAGUUUUCUUGCACGCUCCCCAGAAAAGGGGCCAAGUCCAUGGGGCUGAGCAGUGAUAGACUGCAGACCUCACCACCACUGAACCUUGUAGGAUAAGGCCCACUAGCCUGGGAUGCUAGUGAGGCCACCCUAGUCCUCCUGAGUUCUCCAGCUGGGAGCAGCUCUACACUUCUCC
This is a long non-coding RNA of Homo sapiens (human), 1238 nucleotides long. RefSeq lists it as uncharacterized. NCBI's taxonomy places the organism in Eukaryota, Metazoa, Chordata, Mammalia, Primates, Hominidae. The transcript has 6 exons. The record is from RefSeq and is a predicted model, not a curated record.